Molecule: ribosomal RNA, 253 nt
Filed under: uncultured bacterium
Lineage: Bacteria
Description: partial 16S ribosomal RNA
Rfam family: Bacterial small subunit ribosomal RNA
Source: RNAcentral
UACGGAGGAUCCGAGCGUUAUCCGGAUUUAUUGGGUUUAAAGGGGGCGUAGGCGGCCUUGUAAGUCAGGGGUGAAAGACGGUAGCUCAACUAUCGCAGUGCCUUUGAUACUGCAGGGCUUGAGUAUCGGAGAGGUUGGUGGAAUUCUCGGUGUAGAGGUGAAAUUCGUAGAUAUCGAGAGGAACACCGGUGGCGAAGGCGGCCAACUGGACGAAUACUGACGCUGAGACACGAAAGCGUGGGGAGCAAACAGG